This 497-nucleotide ribosomal RNA is filed under the name uncultured bacterium. RNAcentral describes it as "partial 16S ribosomal RNA". It matches the Rfam family "Bacterial small subunit ribosomal RNA", at positions 28 to 507 of the family's 1533-position model. The record is from RNAcentral.
GAUGAACGCUGGCGGCGUGCCUAAUACAUGCAAGUCGAGCGAACAGACGAGGAGCUUGCUCCUCUGACGUUAGCGGCGGACGGGUGAGUAACACGUGGAUAACCUACCUAUAAGACUGGGAUAACUUCGGGAAACCGGAGCUAAUACCGGAUAAUAUAUUGAACCGCAUGGUUCAAUAGUGAAAGACGGUUUUGCUGUCACUUAUAGAUGGAUCCGCGCCGUAUUAGCUAGUUGGUAAGGUAACGGCUUACCAAGGCGACGAUGCGUAGCCGACCUGAGAGGGUGAUCGGCCACACUGGAACUGAGACACGGUCCAGACUCCUACGGGAGGCAGCAGUAGGGAAUCUUCCGCAAUGGGCGAAAGCCUGACGGAGCAACGCCGCGUGAGUGAUGAAGGUCUUCGGAUCGUAAAACUCUGUUAUUAGGGAAGAACAAAUGUGUAAGUAACUAUGCACGUCUUGACGGUAUCUAAUCAGAAAGCCACGGCUAACUACGUG